RNAcentral lists this ribosomal RNA (434 nucleotides) under uncultured bacterium. Its description in RNAcentral is "partial 16S ribosomal RNA". It matches the Rfam family "Bacterial small subunit ribosomal RNA", at positions 29 to 507 of the family's 1533-position model. The record is from RNAcentral.
AGCGAACGCUGGCGGCAGGCCUAACACAUGCAAGUCGAACGAACCUUUCGGGGUUAGUGGCGGACGGGUGAGUAACACGUGGGAACGUGCCUUUAGGUUCGGAAUAACUCAGGGAAACUUGUGCUAAUACCGAAUGUGCCCUUCGGGGGAAAGAUUAAUCGCCUUUAGAGCGGCCCGCGUCUGAUUAGCCAGUUGGUUGAGGUAAUGGCUCACCAAGGCGACGAUCAGUAGCUGGUCUGAGAGGAUGAUCAGCCACAUUGGGACUGAGACACGGCCCAAACUCCUACGGGAGGCAGCAGUGGGGAAUCUUGCGCAAUGGGCGAAAGCCUGACGCAGCCAUGCCGCGUGAAUGAUGAAGGUCUUAGGAUUGUAAAAUUCUUUCACCGGGGACGAUAAUGACGGUACCCGGAGAAGAAGCCCCGGCUAACUUCGUG